UAUGAAUGGUUGUUGCCCAGUCUCUAAAAA
RNAcentral lists this non-coding RNA (30 nucleotides) under Rattus norvegicus (Norway rat). The record is from RNAcentral. Lineage: Eukaryota; Metazoa; Chordata; Mammalia; Rodentia; Muridae.